AAAUGAAUAGACGGGGACCCACACAAGCGGUGGAGCAUCUGGUUUAAUUCGACAAUAAGCGUGGAACCUUACCUAGGCUUGACAUCCCGAGAAGAUCGCCGAAAGGUGAUUGUGCCGUUAGGAACUCGGUGACAGGUGCUGCAUGGUUGUCGUCAGCUCGUGCCUUGAGGUGUUCGGUUAAGUCCGUGAACGAGCGCAACCCUUGUCGUAAGUUGCAUAUUUCUUACGAGACUGCCGGUUCUAAAUCGGAGGAAGGUAAGGAUGACGUCAAAUCAGCAUGGCCCUUAUGCCUAGGGCGACACAGGUGCUACAAUGGCCAGUACAGUGGGCAGCCAAGGAGCAAUCCGGAGCUAAUCCCCAAAACUGGUCCAAGUUCGGAUUGGAGUCUGCAACUCGACUCCAUGAAGUUGGAAUCGCUAGUAAACGCGUAUCAGCCAUGGCGCGUUGAAUAUGUUCCUGGGUCUUGUACACACCGCCCGU
This 480-nucleotide ribosomal RNA is filed under the name uncultured bacterium. Its description in RNAcentral is "bacterial SSU rRNA". It matches the Rfam family "Bacterial small subunit ribosomal RNA", at positions 903 to 1397 of the family's 1533-position model. The record is from RNAcentral.